UACGUAGGGGGCUAGCGUUGUCCGGAAUCAUUGGGCGUAAAGAGCGCGUAGGCGGCUAGAUAAGUCCGGUGUGAAAGUCACAGGCUCAACCUGUGAAUGCCGCUGGAAACUGUCUGGCUAGAGUCCGGAAGGGGCGAGUGGAAUUCCUGGUGUAGCGGUGAAAUGCGCAGAUAUCAGGAGGAACACCAAUGGCGAAGGCAGCUCGCUGGGACGGUACUGACGCUGAGGCGCGAAAGCCGGGGGAGCAAACGGG
RNAcentral lists this ribosomal RNA (253 nucleotides) under uncultured bacterium. RNAcentral's name for it is "partial 16S ribosomal RNA". It matches the Rfam family "Bacterial small subunit ribosomal RNA", at positions 524 to 776 of the family's 1533-position model. The record is from RNAcentral.